This 901-nucleotide long non-coding RNA is filed under the name Lynx canadensis (Canada lynx). RNAcentral describes it as "lncRNA (ENSLCNG00005019353.1)". The record is from RNAcentral. Lineage: Eukaryota; Metazoa; Chordata; Mammalia; Carnivora; Felidae.
CAGUCGUCCCCAGGUCCCUUUUAUUGCGGUGCCAGCAAUGAGGGGGUGGUCGCCUCGGAGGUCCGCAGAGGCGGGCUGCUGUGAGCCCGCCCCUUAGGCUGGCGCACCUCCUGGCCCCGCCCCCCGUGGGUCGGAACUAGGGUGGGCCAGGGAGGGGGCGUCUAGCCCAUUCGUGCUGUAUCCCUCCGCCCCCCUUCCCGACACCCUUGGUGAGAGCGGUUCGUGCCGCAUCCUGCGCAGCCCCUGCCCAGUUUGGUGCUGCAGCGCGGGGGGGCGGGACGCCUUUUUGCGAUUCUGACAGCACGCUAGGUGGUGGGAGUCCGAGUGAGGAGCUCCGAGAAGAGGGGGAGGACAACAACCUGCACCUUGAGCCUGUGAAGGCAAGUGGGUUGUCGUGGGGAGGGGUGGGGGGCCCCCACUGUCGCCCGGCUUACAGCCUGCCCGGACCCCAGCCUCUGGCAGCCUGGCAAGGGGGAGGCGACCGGGUCGUACCCUGUCCGUGACAGAGGUGCGCAGCGCCGCGGGAUCCCUGGCGAGGAGAGGCAGUGACCGGUGCGGGCCGGGCCCAGGGCAUGGGGGCUGGCGGGAGAGGCUCCCUCGGAUCCUGUGGAGGCGAACUGCGCCAGCCACUCCGCAGCCAGCUUUCCAGGCGCCCAUGACCCGCCCUCGACGGUGUUGUGCCGGGAGAGAGCUGUGGGGGGAGCCUGCUGCGGAAGAAAUGGCGGAGCGGGAGCUGGGGUGGGGGUACCCGGGGAGGCCGCCGGGGCGAGAGCGGGGAUGGGGCUUAGGAGCUCUGUGCUCAAUUGGCGGAUGUGGUGGGCCGGUGGCGUCUGCUAUUCCAGGGUGUGACUCUUCUCCAGCUAAAGAACUGUUCUUUGGUGUAAAGGAUAGAAUUUCCUGA